Molecule: ribosomal RNA, 625 nt
Filed under: uncultured bacterium
Lineage: Bacteria
Description: bacterial SSU rRNA
Rfam family: Bacterial small subunit ribosomal RNA
Source: RNAcentral
CCGCAGUAACGCAUAAGCAUCCGCCUGGGAGUACGUACGCAGUAUGAACUCAAGGAAUUGACGGGACCGCACAGCAGCGGAGCAUGUGUUUAAUUUGAAGCAACGCGAAGACCCUUACCAGGGCUUGACAUGCCACUGACCGCAUCAGAGAUGGUGCUUUACCUUCGGGUACAGUGGACACAGGUGGUGCAUGGUUGUCGUCAGCUCGUGUCGUGAGAUGUUGGGUUAAGUCCCGCAACGAGCGCAACCCCUGUUUCUAGUUGCCAGCAUUAAGUUGGGCACUCUAGAGAGACUGCCGAUGACAAAUCGGAGGAAGGUGGGGAUGACGUCAAAUCAUCAUGCCCUUUAUGCCCUGGGCUACACACGUGCUACAAUGGUCGGUACAACGAGGAGCAAACCAGUGAUGGCAAGCAAAUCUCUAAAAGCCGAUCCCAGUUCGGAUUGUAGGCUGCAACUCGCCUACAUGAAGUCGGAGUUGCUAGUAAUCGCGGAUCAGAAUGUCGCGGUGAAUGCGUUCCCGGGUCUUGUACACACCGCCCGUCACACCAUGGGAGUUGUCAAUACCCGAAGCCAGUGAGCUAACCAGUAAUGGAGGCAGCUGUCGAAGGUAGGGGCGAUGACUGGA